GAAAGAUGGCCGAGAGGUCGAAGGCACUUGAUUCGAAAUCAAGCAAGGGGCAACUCUUCGGGGGUUCAAAUCCCCCUCUUUCC
This 83-nucleotide transfer RNA is filed under the name human gut metagenome. It matches the Rfam family "tRNA". From Rfam's summary of the family: Transfer RNA (tRNA) molecules are approximately 80 nucleotides in length. The record is from RNAcentral. RNAcentral also lists the same sequence under 1 other name.